CGUAAUAUAAUCGCAGUAAAAGCGUGGUAAGAUCGUGCUGCAAUCGGAUAACUCGUGGUAUGGUCGUAGUGAGAACGUGAUGAGCGUAGAAAGAUCUUGAUAAGCGUAGUGAGGUCGCAGAAUAAGCGCGGUGAGAACGUGGUAUAAUCGUAGCGGGAUCGUUAUAGAAGCGUAAUGAGGACGUAGUUGCAUCGUGAAAGCAACGAAAAUUUACAUUUUCAUGCCGCUCAUACCGCGACCUCACCACGAUCUGAAUUUAUUUU
Molecule: long non-coding RNA, 263 nt
Filed under: Mytilus galloprovincialis (Mediterranean mussel)
Lineage: Eukaryota; Metazoa; Mollusca; Bivalvia; Mytilida; Mytilidae
Source: RNAcentral